ACGCGCGGCGUGCUAUACCUGCAAGUCGAGCGGACAGAAGGGAGCUUGCUCCCGGAUGUAGCGGCGGACGGGUGAGUAACACGUGGGUAACUGCCUGUAAGACUGGGAUAACUCCGGGAAACGGGAGCUAAUACCGGAUAGUUCCCUGAACCGCAUGGUUCAAGGUGAAAGACGGUUUCGGCUGUCACUUACAGAUGGACCGCGGCGCAUAGCUAGUUGGUGGGGUAAUGGCUCACCAAGGCGACGAUGCGUAGCCGACCUGAGAGGGUGAUCGGCCACACUGGGACUGAGACACGGCCCAGACUCCUACGGGAGGCAGCAGUAGGGAAUCUUCCGCAAUGGACGAAAGUCUGACGGAGCAACGCCGCGUGAGUGAUGAAGGUUUUCGGAUCGUAAAGCUCUGUUGUUAGGGAAGAACAAGUGCGAGAGUAACUGCUCGCACCUUGACGGUACCUAACCAGAAAGCCACGGCUAACUACGUGCCAGCAGCCGCGGUAAUACGUAGGUGGCAGCGUUGUCCGGAAUUAUUGGGCGUAAAGGGCUCGCAGGCGGUUUCUUAAGUCUGAUGUGAAAGCCCCCGGCUCAACCGGGGAGGGUCAUUGGAAACUGGGAAACUUGAGUGCAGAAGAGGAGAGUGGAAUUCCACGUGUAGCGGUGAAAUGCGUAGAGAUGUGGAGGAACACCAGUGGCGAAGGCGACUCUCUGGUCUGUAACUGACGCUGAGGAGCGAAAGCGUGGGGAGCGAACAGGAUUAGAUACCCUGGUAGUCCACGCCGUAAACGAUGAGUGCUAAGUGUUAGGGGGUUUCCGCCCCUUAGUGCUGCAGCUAACGCAUUAAGCACUCCGCCUGGGGAGUACGGUCGCAAGACUGAAACUCAAAGGAAUUGACGGGGGCCCGCACAAGCGGUGGAGCAUGUGGUUUAAUUCGAAGCAACGCGAAGAACCUUACCAGGUCUUGACAUCCUCUGACAACCCUAGAGAUAGGGCUUUCCCUUCGGGGACAGAGUGACAG
RNAcentral lists this ribosomal RNA (1012 nucleotides) under Bacillus pumilus. Its description in RNAcentral is "bacterial SSU rRNA". It matches the Rfam family "Bacterial small subunit ribosomal RNA", at positions 33 to 1037 of the family's 1533-position model. The record is from RNAcentral. Lineage: Bacteria; Bacillati; Bacillota; Bacilli; Caryophanales; Bacillaceae.